GAUGAACGCUGGCGGCGUGCCUAAUACAUGCAAGUCGAGCGAACAGACCAGGAGCUUGCGCCUCUGACGUUAGCGGCGGACGGGUGGGUAACACGUGGAUAACCUACCUAUAAGACUGGGAUAACUUCGGGAAACCGGAGCUAGUACCGUAUAAUAUAUUGAACCGCAUGGGUCCGUAGUGAAACACGGGUCUGCUGUCCCUUAUAGAUGGAUCCGCGCCGCAUUAGCUGGUGGGUAAGGUAACGGCUUACCAAGGCGACGAUGCGUAGCUGACCUGAGCGGGGGACCGGCCCCGCUGGAACUGGGACACGGUCCAGACUCCUACGGGGGGCCGCCGUAGGGAAUCUUCCGCGAUGGGCGAAAGCCUGACGGAGCAACGCCGCGUGAGCUAUGAAGGUCUUCGGAUCGUAAAACUCUGUUAUUAGGGAAGAACAAAUGUGUAAGUCACUAUGCACGUCUUGACGGUACCUGAUCAGAAAGCCACGGCUAACUACGUG
RNAcentral lists this ribosomal RNA (497 nucleotides) under uncultured bacterium. Its description in RNAcentral is "partial 16S ribosomal RNA". It matches the Rfam family "Bacterial small subunit ribosomal RNA", at positions 28 to 507 of the family's 1533-position model. The record is from RNAcentral.